UACAGAGACCUCAAGCGUUAUCCGGAUUUACUGGGCGUAAAGCGUCUGUAGGCGGUUUGGUAAGUUGUGAGUUAAAGCUUCCGACUCAAUCGGGAAAAAGCUUGCAAUACUACCAUGCUAGAGACCGGGAGAGGCAGAUGGAAUUGCCGGUGUAACGGUAAAAUGUGUUAAUAUCGGCAGGAACACCAAAUGCGAAGGCAUUCUGCUAGAACGGUUCUGACGCUGAGAGACGAAAGCGUGGGGAGCGAAUAGG
This 253-nucleotide ribosomal RNA is filed under the name uncultured bacterium. RNAcentral describes it as "partial 16S ribosomal RNA". It matches the Rfam family "Bacterial small subunit ribosomal RNA", at positions 524 to 776 of the family's 1533-position model. The record is from RNAcentral.